RNAcentral lists this ribosomal RNA (1505 nucleotides) under uncultured Gammaproteobacteria bacterium. RNAcentral describes it as "uncultured gamma proteobacterium 16S ribosomal RNA". It matches the Rfam family "Bacterial small subunit ribosomal RNA". Lineage: Bacteria; Pseudomonadati; Pseudomonadota; Gammaproteobacteria. The record is from RNAcentral.
AGAGUUUGAUCCUGGCUCAGAUUGAACGUUGGCGGCAGGCCUAAAACAUGCAAGUCGAACGGUAACAGCAGGAGCUUGCUCCUGGCUGACGAGUGGCGGACGGGUGAGUAAUACGCAGGAGUCUACCCAGUAGUGGGGGACAACCCGGGGAAACUCGGGCUAAUACCGCAUACGCUCUACGGAGGAAAGCGGGGGAUCUUCGGACCUCGCGCUAUCGGAGGAGCCUGCGUCGGAUUAGCUAGUUGGUGGGGUAAAGGCCUACCAAGGCGACGAUCCGUAGCUGGUCUGAGAGGACGACCAGCCACACUGGAACUGAGACACGGUCCAGACUCCUACGGGAGGCAGCAGUUAGGAAUCUUGGGCAAUGGGCGCAAGCCUGACCCAGCCAUGCCGCGUGUGUGAAGAAGGCCUUCGGGUUGUAAAGCACUUUCAGUGGCGAAGAAAAGCUUGGGGCUAAUACCCUCGAGUUUUGACGUUAUCCACAGAAGAAGCACCGGCUAACUCCGUGCCAGCAGCCGCGGUAAUACGGAGGGUGCGAACGUUAAUCGGAAUUACUGGGCGUAAAGCGCACGUAGGCGGUCCGUUAAGUGGGGUGUGAAAGCCCUGGGCUCAACCUGGGGAAUUGCAUUCCAGACUGACGGGCUAGAGUACGAUAGAGGGAGGUGGAAUUUCCCGUGUAGCGGUGAAAUGCGUAGAUAUAGGAAGGAACACCAGUGGCGAAGGCGGCCUCUCUGGAUCGAUACUGACGCUGAGGUGCGAAAGCGUGGGGAGCAAACAGGAUUAGAUACCCUGGUAGUCCCACGCCGUAAACGAUGAGAACUAGCCGUUGGAUCCCUCGAGGGUUUAGUGGCGUAGCUAACGCGAUAAGUUCUCCGCCUGGGGAGUACGGCCGCAAGGCUAAAACUCAAAUGAAUUGACGGGGGCCCGCACAAGCGGUGGAGCAUGUUGUUUAAUUCGAUGCAACGCGAAGAACCUUACCACCCCUUGACAUCCUCGGAACUUGUCAGAGAUGACUUGGUGCCUUCGGGAACCGAGAGACAGGUGCUGCAUGGCUGUCGUCAGCUCGUGUCGUGAGAUGUUGGGUUGAGUCCCGUAACGAGCGCAACCCUUGUCCUUAUUUGCCAGCGGGUAAUGCCGGGAACUCUAAGGAGACUGCCGGUGACAAACCGGAGGAAGGUGGGGAUGAUGUCAAGUCAUCAUGGCCCUCACGGGGUGGGCCACAAACGUGCUACAAUGGCGCGCACAAAGGGCUGCUAUCCCGCAAGGGGGAGCGAAUCCCAAAAAACGCGUCGUAGUCCGGAUUGGGGUCUGCAACUCGACCCCAUGAAGUCGGAAUCGCUAGUAAUCGCGAAUCAGAAUGUCGCGGUGAAUACGUUCCCGGGCCUUGUACACACCGCCCGUCACGUCAUGGAAGUGGGCUGCACCAGAAGUGGCUAGUCUAACCUUCGGGGGGACGGUCACCACGGUGUGGUCCAUGACUGGGACGAAGUCGUAACAAGGUAACC